GGAUCGGUAGCUCAGUUGGUAGAGCGGCGGGUUGAAGACCCGCGCGGCGGCAGUUCGAUUCUGUCCCGAUCCGCCA
Molecule: transfer RNA, 76 nt
Filed under: Gammaproteobacteria bacterium
Lineage: Bacteria; Pseudomonadati; Pseudomonadota; Gammaproteobacteria
Description: tRNA-Phe
Rfam family: tRNA
About the family: Transfer RNA (tRNA) molecules are approximately 80 nucleotides in length. Their secondary structure includes four short double-helical elements and three loops (D, anti-codon, and T loops). Further hydrogen bonds mediate the characteristic L-shaped molecular structure. tRNAs have two regions of fundamental functional importance: the anti-codon, which is responsible for specific mRNA codon recognition, and the 3' end, to which the tRNAs corresponding amino acid is attached (by aminoacyl-tRNA synthetases). tRNAs cope with the degeneracy of the genetic code in two manners: having more than one tRNA (with a specific anti-codon) for a particular amino acid; and 'wobble' base-pairing, i.e. permitting non-standard base-pairing at the 3rd anti-codon position.
Source: RNAcentral